CAACGAGCGCCAACCCUCGACCUUAGUUCGCCAGCAUUCAGGUUGGCACUACGUAAGGUGACUGCCGGCUAAAAAGUCGGAGGAAGGUGGGGAUGACGUCAAAUCAUCAUGCCCCUUAUGACCUGGGCUACACACGUGCUACAAUGGGCGGUACAAAGGGUCGCGAACCCGCGAGGGGGAGCCAAUCCCAAAAAGCCGCUCUCAGUUCGGAUUGCAGGCUGCAACUCGCCUGCAUGAAGCCGGAAUCGCUAGUAAUCGCGGAUCCAGCAUGCCGCGGUGAAUACGUUCCCGGGCCUU
This 297-nucleotide ribosomal RNA is filed under the name uncultured Anoxybacillus sp. Its description in RNAcentral is "partial 16S ribosomal RNA". It matches the Rfam family "Bacterial small subunit ribosomal RNA", at positions 1090 to 1382 of the family's 1533-position model. Lineage: Bacteria; Bacillati; Bacillota; Bacilli; Caryophanales; Anoxybacillaceae. The record is from RNAcentral.